AUAAGAGGUCCAGCCUGCCCAGUGACACUGUUCAACGGCCGCGGUAUCCUAACCGUGCGAAGGUAGCGUAAUCACUUGUCCUUUAAAUGAGGACUAGUAUGAAUGGCACCACGAGGGUUAUACUGUCUCCUUUUUCCGAUCAGUGAACCUAAUCUCCCCGUGAAGAAACGGGGAUACACCUAUAAGACGAGAAGACCCUAUGGAGCUUUAAACGAAACAACAUUUGCUAAGUUACACACAAAUCUCAGGAACCAUCACCCCUAUUUUAGCUCUCUGAUUGUUAGUUUUAGGUUGGGGUGACCGCGGAGCAAAAGACAACCUCCACAAUGAAUGGGGCCCUCCCCUAAGCAAAAAGCCACAACUUUACGCAUCAACAAAUUGACAUUAGUUGACCCAAUAUUUUGAUCAACGAAACAAGUUACCCUAGGGAUAACAGCGCAAUCCACUUCGAGAGCCCAUAUCGACAAGUGGGUUUACGACCUCGAUGUUGGAUCAGGG
Molecule: ribosomal RNA, 498 nt
Filed under: Gastrotheca sp. C DCB-2013
Lineage: Eukaryota; Metazoa; Chordata; Amphibia; Anura; Hemiphractidae
Description: partial 16S ribosomal RNA
Rfam family: Bacterial large subunit ribosomal RNA
Source: RNAcentral